CUCGGAUUUGGAUUUGGAUGCCUGUCAAGCCCUCACUCUUCAGACUAAAUGUCUGAUUUGCAUGGAGAAUUAUCAAGAGAAGCAACAAUGCCAAGCAGACUAUUCCAGGUCAAAAUAGUCAAAUUAAUAAUUCAUAAAUUAUUAUAUGUUUUGAAGGUAUUGCAAAAUUAAAGUUGCAAGAACAGUACAGAUAACUUUUUUCCUGAACCAUUUGAGAGUAGGUUGCAGACCUGGUGCCCCAUCAUUUCUGAAUAUUUUAGUGUGCAUUUUCUACAAACAAGGACAUUUUCCAGCAUAACCACAAUGCACCCAUCAAUGUCGUGAAAUUAAUGUUGGUACAUUACUACCACCUAGUCCUCAGACCCUAUUCAAAUUAUACCAGUUAUCAUAAUAGUUUCUUAUAAUUUAUAGCAAAAUGAUCCAAACCAGGAGCAUGCAUUGCAUUUUUAUGAAUUUUUAAAACAAUUAAGUCUGUGUAGUGAGUGAAGCCACAGUGAUAGGAAUAUAUAAAGGCUUUGCAUCUAGAAUUUGUUCUGAAAACCCUGAGAUUCAAGUAGUACAUUAUUUCAUUUACUAUUUUACACAGAGAAGCCCUCAUUUUUAAGAGUUUGCCUUUCUGAUUUCCACCGGAAAUGAUACUAUCAGUAUCAUACUCAGAAUCUUAAUUACAUACAAGGCACUAACCUCUCACCUGUUUUCAGCUUUGUGUAAAGACAAGGGAUCAAAACAUCCCUUUCUGCUAUUUCAUACUUAAGUGUGGGAGCUGAUCCAAAGGAAGAAUAGUUUCAAAAGUUUGUAGCAAAAAAAAUUUAAAAGGUGAAGAUUUUUUCCUUGAAUGAUUCUCACCUGGCAGAUCUAUGGAAAGAUUAGCUGACUCUUUGGAUCCCUGAAUAUAGUUAAUAGAAAUUUGGAAGGACCAUGUCAAAAUUAACUAAUGUGAACUGACAAAGAUUUGGUGUUCAAAGCAAAAAUUAAACUUUGGAAAAGUGAGCAAGUACUUAAUCAGAAACAAAAAAAAAAAAAAGAAAGGAAAAGUUAGGUGAAAAUGGUUUCCAGGUGUUGUUGCUGUUAUAGUUUGAAUCAUAAAAGUUGUUAAAAGUCUGCUGUAACAAACCAUCAUAGACUGGGUGACUUAUAAAGAACAAAAAUGUAUUUCUCACAGUUCCAGAGGCUGGGAAGUCUAAGAUCAAGGCAUCAGCAGAUUCAGUGUCUGGUGAGGGCCCACUUUCUGGUUCAUAGAUGGCACCUUCUCACUGUCUCCCCACGUGAUGGAAGGGGCAAGAGGUCUCUCUUGGUACUCUUUUAUUAAGGGCACUAAUCCCAUCCAUGGGGCUCCACCUUCAUGACCUAUUCAUCUCCCAGAGGCCCUACCUGCAGAUACCAUCGUAUGGGGGAUUUGAUUUCAGCCUGUGAAUUUGGGGGAAGCGGGACAAACAUUCGUUUUGUAGCAAAAGGAGUAGAGUAAUAUCUGCCAAUAACUGGAGGAAAGAAUUGUUCUUUUAAAACUAUUAAAUUGUUUAAUGGGAUUUAAAUGAUUUCAGGAAUGAAAUGGAAAUCCUGGUAAUGGGUAGAAACAUAGGUAAAUUCUCCUUUUCCACUUACCACCACCUGUGUGAACAACAAUCAUUUCUCAUUAAUAGUCAAGAAUUUGAAGAGAUCAUGAGUAAAAAGUCUUGAUCAGAAAUUGUGUAUAGCUGUUUCCAGCAUAAAACCUUAUAUAAAAUGCAUAUUCAUAGAAGAUGCUCAAGUAUGUCAUGAAAAAUAUGAAGUUUAUUUAAAUAUUUAUACAAAUUAAAGAUUUACUGUAUUCUCUAACAG
Molecule: long non-coding RNA, 1818 nt
Filed under: Homo sapiens (human)
Lineage: Eukaryota; Metazoa; Chordata; Mammalia; Primates; Hominidae
Description: non-protein coding lnc-KANTR-23:26
Source: RNAcentral